Molecule: ribosomal RNA, 320 nt
Filed under: uncultured eukaryote
Lineage: Eukaryota
Description: partial 18S ribosomal RNA
Rfam family: Eukaryotic small subunit ribosomal RNA
Source: RNAcentral
CCCCUAGAUGUUCUGGGCCGCACGCGCGCUACACUGAACAGUUCAACAAGUCUUAACCUUGGCCGAUAGGUCUGGGUAAUCUUUGAACGCUGUUCGUGAUUGGGAUAGACCUUUGCAAUUAUGGGUCUUCAACGAGGAAUUCCUAGUAAACGCACGUCAUCAGCUUGCAUUGAUUACGUCCCUGCCCUUUGUACACACCGCCCGUCGCACCUACCGAUUGAAUGGUCCGGUGAAAUCUCGGGACGGCGGCUUGGUCGCUUGCGUCCGACUGCUGAAACUUGAUUAAACCAUAUCAUUUAGAGGAAGGUGAAGUCGUAACA